UACGUAGGGGGCAAGCGUUGUCCGGAAUCAUUGGGCGUAAAGAGCGUGUAGGCGGCUCGAUAAGUCUGCUGUGAAAGUCCAGGGCUCAACCCUGGAAGGCCGGUGGAAACUGUCGGGCUAGAGUCCGGAAGAGGCGAGUGGAAUUCCCGGUGUAGCGGUGAAAUGCGCAGAUAUCAGGAGGAACACCAAUGGCGAAGGCAGCACUCUGGGACGUGACUGACGCUGAGACGCGAAAGCGUGGGGAGCAAACAGG
This 253-nucleotide ribosomal RNA is filed under the name uncultured bacterium. RNAcentral describes it as "partial 16S ribosomal RNA". It matches the Rfam family "Bacterial small subunit ribosomal RNA", at positions 524 to 776 of the family's 1533-position model. The record is from RNAcentral.